This 462-nucleotide ribosomal RNA is filed under the name uncultured bacterium. RNAcentral's name for it is "SSU rRNA". It matches the Rfam family "Bacterial small subunit ribosomal RNA", at positions 26 to 518 of the family's 1533-position model. The record is from RNAcentral.
AGGAUGAACGCUGGCGGCGUGCCUAAUACAUGCAAGUCGAGCGGCAGCGCGAAUAGUUUACUAUUUGGCGGCGAGCGGCGGACGGCUGAGUAACGCGUAGGAACGUACCCCAAAGUGAGGGAUAAGCACCAGAAAUGGUGUCUAAUACCGCAUGCGGUCUAAGGAUUAAAGCUUCGGCGCUUUGGGAACGGCCUGCGUUUGAUUAGCUAGUUGGUGAGGUAAAAGCUUACCAAGGCGACGAUCAAUAGCUGGUCUGAGAGGAUGAUCAGCCAGACUGGGACUGAGACACGGCCCAGACUCCUACGGGAGGCAGCAGUAGGGAAUUUUCCACAAUGGGCGAAAGCCUGAUGGAGCAACGCCGCGUGCAGGAUGAAUGCCUUAGGGUUGUAAACUGCUUUUAUAUGUGACGAUUAUGACGGUAGCAUAUGAAUAAGGAUCGGCUAACUCCGUGCCAGCAGCCGC